GAUUCUGGCUCAGAUUGAACGCUGGCGGCGUGACCUAACACAUGCAAGUCGAACGAGAAACGUCCGUCGGGGGCGAGUACAGUGGCGCACGGGUGAGUAACGCGUGGAUAAUCUACCCAAAGGUCUGGAAUAACAGUUGGAAACGACUGAUAAUACCGGAUGUACUGGCAACGGGAAAGGUGGCCUCUGCUUGCAAGCUACUGCCUUUGGAUGAGUCCGCGUCUCAUUAGCUAGACGGUAGGGUAACGGCCUACCGUGGCAACGAUGAGUAGCAGGCCUGAGAGGGUGGCCUGCCACACUGGGACUGGAACACGGCCCAGACUCCUACGGGAGGCAGCAGUGGGGAAUAUUGCGCAAUGGGGGAAACCCUGACGCAGCGACGCCGCGUGGGAAGGAUGAAGGCUUUCGGGUCGUAAACUCCUGUCAAGGAGGGAAGAAACCUGUGAAGAGUAAUAUGCUUCGCAAUUGACGGUACCUCUAGAGGAAGCACCGGCUAAUUCCGUGCCAGCCGCCGC
RNAcentral lists this ribosomal RNA (515 nucleotides) under uncultured bacterium. RNAcentral describes it as "bacterial SSU rRNA". It matches the Rfam family "Bacterial small subunit ribosomal RNA", at positions 15 to 518 of the family's 1533-position model. The record is from RNAcentral.